This 149-nucleotide non-coding RNA is filed under the name Cercocebus atys (sooty mangabey). RNAcentral also lists the same sequence under 2 other names. Lineage: Eukaryota; Metazoa; Chordata; Mammalia; Primates; Cercopithecidae. The record is from Rfam by way of RNAcentral.
GCUGGGCGUGGUGGCGGGCGCCUGUAAUCCCAGCUACUCAGGAGGCUUGAGGCAGGAGAAUCACUUGAACCCGGGAGGCAGAGGUUGCAGUGAGCCGAGAUCAUGCUACUGCACUCCAGCCUGGGUGACAGAGUGAGACUCUGUCUCAA